This 505-nucleotide ribosomal RNA is filed under the name uncultured bacterium. Its description in RNAcentral is "partial 16S ribosomal RNA". It matches the Rfam family "Bacterial small subunit ribosomal RNA", at positions 28 to 507 of the family's 1533-position model. The record is from RNAcentral.
GACGAACGCUGGCGGCGUGCCUAAUACAUGCAAGUAGAACGCACAGUUUAUACCGUAGCUUGCUACACCAUAGACUGUGAGUUGCGAACGGGUGAGUAACGCGUAGGUAACCUGCCUGGUAGCGGGGGAUAACUAUUGGAAACGAUAGCUAAUACCGCAUAAUAUUGAUUAUUGCAUGAUAAUUGAUUGAACGAUGCUAUUGCAUCACUACCAGAUGGACCUGCGUUGUAUUAGCUAGUAGGUGAGGUAACGGCUCACCUAGGCGACGAUACAUAGCCGACCUGAGAGGGUGAUCGGCCACACUGGGACUGAGACACGGCCCAGACUCCUACGGGAGGCAGCAGUAGGGAAUCUUCGGCAAUGGACGAAAGUCUGACCGAGCAACGCCGCGUGAGUGAAGAAGGUUUUCGGAUCGUAAAGCUCUGUUGUAAGAGAAGAACGGGUGUGAGAGUGGAAAGUUCACACUGUGACGGUAUCUUACCAGAAAGGGGCGGCUAACUACGUG